GACGAACGCUGGCGGCGUGCUUAACACAUGCAAGUCGAACGGAAAGGCCCUGCUUUUGUGGGGUGCUCGAGUGGCGAACGGGUGAGUAACACGUGAGUAACCUGCCCUUGACUUUGGGAUAACUUCAGGAAACUGGGGCUAAUACCGGAUAGGAGCUCCUGCUGCAUGGUGGGGGUUGGAAAGUUUCGGCGGUUGGGGAUGGACUCGCGGCUUAUCAGCUUGUUGGUGGGGUAGUGGCUUACCAAGGCUUUGACGGGUAGCCGGGCUGGGAGGGUGACCGGACACAUUGGGACUGAGAUACGGCCCAGACCCCUACGGGAGGCAGAAGUGGGGAAUAUUGCACAAUGGGCGGAAGGCUGAUGCAGCAACGCCGCGUGCGGGAUGACGGCCUUCGGGUUGUAAACCGCUUUCGCCUGUGACGAAGCGUGAGUGACGGUAAUGGGUAAAGAAGCACCGGCUAACUACGUG
Molecule: ribosomal RNA, 468 nt
Filed under: uncultured bacterium
Lineage: Bacteria
Description: partial 16S ribosomal RNA
Rfam family: Bacterial small subunit ribosomal RNA
Source: RNAcentral